This 69-nucleotide transfer RNA is filed under the name Phacomorphus fratyi. Its description in RNAcentral is "tRNA-Met". Lineage: Eukaryota; Metazoa; Arthropoda; Insecta; Coleoptera; Leiodidae. The record is from RNAcentral.
AAAAAGAUAAGCUAAUAAAGCUACAGGGUUCAUACCCCUCUCAUGAAAGUUUUAACCUUUCUCUUUUUA